RNAcentral lists this ribosomal RNA (253 nucleotides) under uncultured bacterium. Its description in RNAcentral is "partial 16S ribosomal RNA". It matches the Rfam family "Bacterial small subunit ribosomal RNA", at positions 524 to 776 of the family's 1533-position model. The record is from RNAcentral.
UACGUAGGUGGCAAGCGUUGUCCGGAUUUACUGGGCGUAAAGGGAGCGUAGGCGGUCUUUUAAGUGGGAUGUGAAAGCCCUGGGCUUAACCCAGGAAUUGCAUUCCAUACUGGGAGACUAGAGUGCAGGAGAGGAAAGUGGAAUUCCAAGUGUAGCGGUGAAAUGCGUAGAGAUUUGGAGGAACACCAGUGGCGAAGGCGACUUUCUGGACUGUAACUGACGCUGAGGCUCGAGAGCGUGGGGAGCAAACAGG